Molecule: non-coding RNA, 30 nt
Filed under: Mus musculus (house mouse)
Lineage: Eukaryota; Metazoa; Chordata; Mammalia; Rodentia; Muridae
Source: RNAcentral
UGGAAAAUCCCGUAAAUAGGUGACAGCUAC